UAGAAGAGUUGUUGGUGGUUGGCUCUGACU
RNAcentral lists this non-coding RNA (30 nucleotides) under Rattus norvegicus (Norway rat). Lineage: Eukaryota; Metazoa; Chordata; Mammalia; Rodentia; Muridae. The record is from RNAcentral.